Molecule: ribosomal RNA, 2119 nt
Filed under: Limnohabitans sp. MMS-10A-181
Lineage: Bacteria; Pseudomonadati; Pseudomonadota; Betaproteobacteria; Burkholderiales; Comamonadaceae
Description: bacterial LSU rRNA
Rfam family: Bacterial large subunit ribosomal RNA
Source: RNAcentral
AUAGAUCCUGAAACCGUGUGCUUACAAAAAGUAGGAGCCCGCAAGGGUGACUGCGUACCUUUUGUAUAAUGGGUCAGCGACUUACAUUCAGUGGCAAGGUUAACCGAAUAGGGAAGCCGUAGAGAAAUCGAGUCCGAAUAGGGCGUCAUAGUCGCUGGGUGUAGACCCGAAACCAAGUGAUCUAUCCAUGGGCAGGAUGAAGGUGCCGUAACAGGUACUGGAGGUCCGAACCGACUAAUGUUGCAAAAUUAGCGGAUGACCUGUGGAUAGGGGUGAAAGGCUAAACAAACUUGGAAAUAGCUGGUUCUCUCCGAAAACUAUUUAGGUAGUGCCUCAAGUAUUACCGACGGGGGUAGAGCACUGUUUUGGCUAGGGGGGUCAUGGCGACUUACCAAACCAAGGCAAACUCCGAAUACCGUCGAGUACAGCUUGGGAGACAGAGCACCGGGUGCUAACGUCCGGACUCAAGAGGGAAACAACCCAGACCGCCAGCUAAGGUCCCUAAAAUUGGCUAAGUGGGAAACGAAGUGGGAAGGCUAAAACAGUCAGGAUGUUGGCUUAGAAAGCAGCCAUCAUUUUAAAGAAAGCGUAAUAGCUCACUGAUCGAGUCGUCCUGCGCGGAAGAUGUAACGGGGCUAAGCCAGUUACCGAAGCUGCGGAUUUGCAAUUUAUUGCAAGUGGUAGGAGAGCGUUCUGUAGGCCUGUGAAGGUGUCUUGUAAAGGAUGCUGGAGGUAUCAGAAGUGCGAAUGCUGACAUGAGUAGCGUUAAAGGGGGUGAAAAGCCCCCUCGCCGUAAGCGCAAGGUUUUCUACGCAACGUUCAUCGGCGUAGAGUGAGUCGGCCCCUAAGGCGAGGCAGAGAUGCGUAGCUGAUGGGAAACAGGUCAAUAUUCCUGUACCGAUUACAAGUGCGAUGUGGGGACGGAGAAGGUUAGCUCAGCCAACUGUUGGAUAUGUUGGUUCAAGCCUGUAGUCAUGCCCGGUAGGCAAAUCCGCCGGGCUUAGAUGAGGGGUGAUAAGGAGUGUGCUUGCACACGAACUGAGUGAUACCCUGCUUCCAGGAAAAGCCACUAAGCUUCAGCUUGUAACGACCGUACCGCAAACCGACACUGGUGCGCGAGAUGAGUAUUCUAAGGCGCUUGAGAGAACUCUGGAGAAGGAACUCGGCAAAUUGAUACCGUAACUUCGGGAGAAGGUAUGCCCCCUAGUAGGUGAACUCGAAACAGAGGGAGCCCAAUGGGGGUUGCAAAAAAAAUCGGUGGCUGCGACUGUUUAAUAAAAAACACAGCACUCUGCAAACACGAAAGUGGACGUAUAGGGUGUGACGCCUGCCCCGGUGCUGGAAGAUUAAAUGAUGGGGUGCAAGCUCUUGAUUGAAGUCCCAGUAAACGGCGGCCGUAACUAUAACGGUCCUAAGGUAGCGAAAUUCCUUGUCGGGUAAGUUCCGACCUGCACGAAUGGCGUAACGAUGGCCACACUGUCUCCUCCAGAGACUCAGCGAAGUUGAAAUGUUUGUGAUGAUGCAAUCUCCCCGCGGAAAGACGGAAAGACCCCAUGAACCUUUACUGUAGCUUUGUAUUGGACUUUGAACAGAUCUGUGUAGGAUAGGUGGGAGGCUUUGAAGCCGGAACGCUAGUUUCGGUGGAGCCAACGUUGAAAUACCACCCUGGUGUGUUUGAGGUUCUAACCUAGGUCCAUUAUCUGGAUCGGGGACAGUGCAUGGUAGGCAGUUUGACUGGGGGCGGUCUCCUCCCAAAGUGUAACGGAGGAGUUCGAAAGGUACGCUAGUUACGGUCGGACAUCGUGAUAAUAGUGCAAUGGCAUAAGCGUGCUUAACUGCGAGACUGACAAGUCGAGCAGAUGCGAAAGCAGGACAUAGUGAUCCGGUGGUUCUGUAUGGAAGGGCCAUCGCUCAACGGAUAAAAGGUACUCUGGGGAUAACAGGCUGAUACCGCCCAAGAGUUCAUAUCGACGGCGGUGUUUGGCACCUCGAUGUCGGCUCAUCUCAUCCUGGGGCUGUAGCCGGUCCCAAGGGUAUGGCUGUUCGCCAUUUAAAGAGGUACGUGAGCUGGGUUUAAAACGUCGUGAGACAGUUUGGUCCCUAUCUUCCGUGGGCGCUG